RNAcentral lists this non-coding RNA (45 nucleotides) under Schistosoma margrebowiei. The record is from RNAcentral. Lineage: Eukaryota; Metazoa; Platyhelminthes; Trematoda; Strigeidida; Schistosomatidae.
AUUCAACUGACGAGUCUCAAAAAGGACGAAACGCGUUUCUUGGAU